UCGAGUUCGGGUCUUAGGACCCAACUUCCAACCCUUGCUUACCAGUCCAUGUUGCUUUGGCAGCGUCAAAACCUGCCAGAGAUCUUUGCAAACUCAGCCAUUUAAAAUCUGAAGUCUGAAGAAAACAAAAAAUCGCACA
Molecule: unclassified non-coding RNA, 139 nt
Filed under: uncultured fungus
Lineage: Eukaryota; Fungi
Description: sequence contains ITS1, 5.8S rRNA gene
Source: RNAcentral